RNAcentral lists this ribosomal RNA (978 nucleotides) under Triticum aestivum (bread wheat). Its description in RNAcentral is "partial small subunit ribosomal RNA". Lineage: Eukaryota; Viridiplantae; Streptophyta; Magnoliopsida; Poales; Poaceae. The record is from RNAcentral.
AUGCGCGCCGCCGGCUUCGGCCCCACCACCGCCACCUACAACGUCCUCCUCAAGGCCCACUGCUCUGAUGCCGACGCUCCUAUCGACCACGCGGUCCGCCUUUUCCGCAACAUCCCCAAACCUGACGCCUGCUCCUACAACACCGUCAUCGACGGGCUCUGCCGCCGCAGCCGCAGGGCCGAGGCCCAGGAGCUGUUCUCCGAGAUGGUAGAAAAUGGCGUUGCGCCCACAGUGGUUACUUACACGACUAUCAUCAAUUGGCUCGCACGGGAGGGCUGCUUGGACGAUGCACUGGAGAUGUUUGACGAAAUGGGAAGGAGAGGUAUUGCACCCAAUGUUAUUACAUAUAGUUCUCUGAUUGAUGGUUUGUGCAAGGGUGGGCGUGCAUCAUCAGCACUGGACUUGUUGGAGAGGUUGACCAAGGAGGUGAAGCUGCCAAAUACAAUCAUAUAUAGUUCUGUCAUUAAUGGCCUCUGUAAGGAGGGCCUGCUGAGGGAGGCAAUGGAGGUUUUGGACCGGAUGCGUCUCCAGGGGAGGAAGCCUGAUGCUGGAUUGUUUGGGAAGCUCAUUGUUGGGCUGUCUGAUGCAGGAAGGGCUGUGGAGGCUGCAAAUUACUUGGAUGAGAUGGUUCUUGCUGGCGUUCAACCGAACCGGGUGACUUGGAGCCUUCAUGUCAGGAUAAACGUUGCAGUGGUGACAGCAUUAUGUGUUAAGGGUGAAGUUGGGAGGGCUUUCCAGGUGUACCAGAGCAUGAGGACUCGUGGCAUUUCUACCGAGCCAAGCAUUUUCCAUCUCCUGGUUGAGUUCUUCUGCAAAAAGAACCAUUUGGAGAAAGCAGCUUGUGUUGUGCUUGACAUGUUGUCAGAGAGGUGCAUCCCUGAGAGGGAAACAUGGGAUGUUAUUGUCAGCGGGUAUUGGAGUAAGAAGAAAGUCAGACAAGAAGCUGAGCAAAUAUGGAACCAAUUAGCAGUUAUCUGA